GCCCUGGUAGCUCAGGUGGAUAGAGCGUCCGCCUCCUAAGCGGGAGGUCGCCGGUUCGAGUCCGGCCCAGGGCACCA
Molecule: transfer RNA, 77 nt
Filed under: Gammaproteobacteria bacterium
Lineage: Bacteria; Pseudomonadati; Pseudomonadota; Gammaproteobacteria
Also listed under: 5 other names
Description: tRNA-Arg
Rfam family: tRNA
About the family: Transfer RNA (tRNA) molecules are approximately 80 nucleotides in length. Their secondary structure includes four short double-helical elements and three loops (D, anti-codon, and T loops).
Source: RNAcentral